CUCUCUCCUCUGACAGUGCCCAGGCCCUUGAGCCUCCUCCGAUGCCCAGUGGCUCUGCCCCAGGAGGGCCAGCGUCCCCGGGCUCCCAGUGAAGUAGCUGCGGGUCAUGGUGGCGGUGGUGGCCAGCUCCUCCGUCCUCCCUCGGACCCGCUGGGUGGGGCAGGGCAGGCCCAGUGGCCCUAAUCCCCCAUCGCCCUAUUCCUCAGUCUUUCCCUGGAC
Molecule: long non-coding RNA, 219 nt
Organism: Tupaia belangeri chinensis (Chinese tree shrew)
Lineage: Eukaryota; Metazoa; Chordata; Mammalia; Scandentia; Tupaiidae
Exons: 2
Source: RefSeq, a predicted model, not a curated record